RNAcentral lists this ribosomal RNA (420 nucleotides) under bacterium. Its description in RNAcentral is "partial 16S ribosomal RNA". It matches the Rfam family "Bacterial small subunit ribosomal RNA", at positions 355 to 776 of the family's 1533-position model. The record is from RNAcentral.
UGGGGGAUAUUGCACAAUGGGCGAAAGCCUGAUGCAGCGACGCCGCGUGGGGGAUGAAGGCUUUCGGGUUGUAAACCUCUUUCGCUAUCGAACAAGGCCCGCUUAGGGUGGGUUGAGGGUAGGUGGAGAAGAAGCGCCGGCUAACUACGUGCCAGCAGCCGCGGUAAUACGUAGGUCGCGAGCGUUGUCCGGAAUUAUUGGGCGUAAAGGGCUUGUAGGCGGCUUGUUGCGCCUGCUGUGAAAACGCGGGGCUUAACUUCGCGCGUGCAGUGGGUACGGGCAGGCUUGAGUGUGGUAGGGGUGACUGGAAUUCCAGGUGUAGCGGUGGAAUGCGCAGAUAUCUGGAGGAACACCGAUGGCGAAGGCAGGUCACUGGGCCACUACUGACGCUGAGGAGCGAAAGCAUGGGUAGCGAACAGG